UACAUAUAAUCUUAACUAAGAUACACGUAUACUUUAUUAGAUACAUGAACUCUUAACUUGAUACAUGUAUAAAUUUUAUCAAAUCCAUAUUUUAACCACCGUCUCUCCUCAUCCCCCCUUCGUCUCUCUCUCCUCUCCAGUCAGAGGGUGUCAUGCAUCUUGUUGCUUGGGCUAUUCUGCGUCCAUGGCUAAGAAUUUAUGGGAGGAAAGGAAAAAAAUACGUGGGAGGGAAAGGAUUAGGAGAGAGAGUGAAUUGAUC
RNAcentral lists this long non-coding RNA (259 nucleotides) under Solanum tuberosum (potato). RNAcentral's name for it is "long non-coding RNA (STUB_LNC001853)". Lineage: Eukaryota; Viridiplantae; Streptophyta; Magnoliopsida; Solanales; Solanaceae. The record is from RNAcentral.